This 253-nucleotide ribosomal RNA is filed under the name uncultured bacterium. Its description in RNAcentral is "partial 16S ribosomal RNA". It matches the Rfam family "Bacterial small subunit ribosomal RNA", at positions 524 to 776 of the family's 1533-position model. The record is from RNAcentral.
UACAGAGGUCCCAAGCGUUGUUCGGAUUCAUUGGGCGUAAAGGGUGCGUAGGUGGCGCUGUAAGUCGGGUGUGAAAUUUCGGAGCUUAACUCCGAAACUGCAUUCGAUACUGCCGUGCUUGAGGACUGGAGAGGAGACUGGAAUUUACGGUGUAGCGGUGAAAUGCGCAGAUAUCAGGAGGAACACCGGUGGCGAAGGCGGGUCUCUGGGCCGUAACUGACGCUGAGGAGCGAAAGCGUGGGGAGCGAACAGG